Long non-coding RNA from Macrobrachium nipponense, 1627 nucleotides. RefSeq lists it as uncharacterized. The transcript is spliced from 2 exons. The record is from RefSeq and is a predicted model, not a curated record. NCBI's taxonomy places the organism in Eukaryota, Metazoa, Arthropoda, Malacostraca, Decapoda, Palaemonidae.
GAGCGAACUUGAGGACAUUACACGGAAGACAAUACGUGAAGCGUUAAGACUACUUCAUACCACAGUUAUUUUACCUAAAGUACAUCAAUCAAGGUUUGCUGGCAGUUGCCGCGUAUUUCAAAGAGGGAAGGCUGCAGAAAGGUUUGUUAUAAAAGAAGUCGCGCACGGCAAUGUCAAACGAAGAUGUGUCAAGGCAGAACAAUUUACUCUGGUGUAAAACUAUUUGGUGUCAAGACAAUUUACGCUAUCACCUGCUGUGACAAAGUAAUCUUGUCUACAGAAAGUGCGUGUGAUCUUUGGUUACAAGUAGAACACGAAGUAGGGCGUCAGAUAAGAAGCAAGCAGAUUAUUUAAACAGGAGAAAAGAGCCUUAACAGGAGAAAAGGAUAAUACACAAAGGAACACGAAAGAUAAAAUCUCUCCUUGGUUGCUAUGACAGGAAAGCAGUAAGAAGACAAUGAAGCAGACAAACAGUAUCAACCGAGGAAAACUCAAUAGCAGUAUUUAAUGAAAAGGGCAUGAAAUUAGAAUGUUUUGAUAGUUUUUAUUUAAUUUCUCUCCCAAAUAAAAGUAAUUAUAAGUAUUAGUUAUAUUGUAACUUCUUAGAUAAUGGAAUGGAGAAGUUAAGUUUUAAUAAUCUUAAAAUUUUUAUCAGGACUUUUGGACAUAGGGUUUAGAUAUAAAUUUUUAUCACUUGGUUUUCGUAUUUUCCCCAUGACCAAGGAAGUAGGAAUACGAAGAAAUGCCUUCAAUAGCACAGUUGAAAGAAGCCUAAAGACGUUUUGGAGAAUGUUUCACUUCUUACUUAAGUUUCUUAAUACGAAGUUUUCUAGUAACUUGAGUCUUCAAGCAUUUUAUCUGCAGUGCAGUUAGGAAGGACAGUAGAAAUGCGAAGAAAUGCUUAGUCCAGGUGAAGGAAUUCAGGAGAUAAGAAAUAAACCGGAAGAAAUCAUAGUCCAGGUGAAAGAAUUCAGGAGAUAAGAAAUUAACCGGAAGAAAUCAGUGUUUGCGUCUUGAAGCGUCAAUGAUGAUCAACUUGCUCUUUCCCACUUUCUUGAAACCAAGGGGAACGAAAAACCUUCUCAGCCUUUGCUAUUGUUCCUUCCUUGGACAAGAUGAAGAAAUUCAGGAGAUAUGAAACCGAGGGACGAAAUCAAUGAAGCUCUGGUGUUUGGUUAACGACCGAGCUUACUUUUUUCGAUGACUAAUUCCCCAGGUAUAAAUUUAAAGCUUCCUUCUCAGCUGCUUUACACAAGUGUAUCAGACCUCACACCUGCAACAUAGAAUAUUGUUAAUUUACAACCUCGGGUUUAGUAAACACUGAUUAAAUGUUGCAUUCAGGUGUCAGUCAUAAAACAGUCCAAGCUAGAACAACAACAAAAUGGAUUGGAUUGUCACAACUUCCAAAUACAUAUCAAGAAUGAAGUACUAGUGAACAAUUGCUUUAAGAGAUUAAUUACGGCCAGAACGGACUAGAGAUUAAGGCCACAAUUAAUAUCAAUUAAGGUCUUAAAUUAGCAACUGGACUCAUCAAUUACUGCCACUGACUCAAUUGAGUAACUUGGACCCUUCAACUAUCAGUUUAAUAGUAUCCAGUCUAAAAAAUAAAAAUAAAAUUCCAAAUAAU